RNAcentral lists this long non-coding RNA (334 nucleotides) under Brassica rapa (field mustard). RNAcentral's name for it is "long non-coding RNA (BRAP_LNC007788)". Lineage: Eukaryota; Viridiplantae; Streptophyta; Magnoliopsida; Brassicales; Brassicaceae. The record is from RNAcentral.
GAAAUUACAUGUUUACCACUUUUAUGGUACCACUUUUCAUUUUUACCACCACUAAUGAGACAUUUUCAAAAAUACCUUCUUCAUUAAGUGGCAAAAGACUUUUAUGCCCUUGUUAUUUAUAUAUAUAUAAUAAAUCAUUAUUUAAAUAAAAAUAAUAAUAAAAAAAAGUAAAAAAAAUAUUUUAAAUUUUUUUUUUAUGUUUUCGAAUUAUACUUUUUUCAAAUUCAAACUUUUUUAUAAAAUUAUUUUUUUUUGAAUUUUUUUUGAAUUUGUUUUUAUUUUUUUCAAAUUUCUUUUUGAAAAACGAAAAUUAUGUUUGAAACUAUUAUUUAAA